RNAcentral lists this unclassified non-coding RNA (350 nucleotides) under soil metagenome. Its description in RNAcentral is "partial contains 5.8S ribosomal RNA, internal transcribed spacer 2, and large subunit ribosomal RNA". The stretch from base 1 to 120 matches the Rfam family "5.8S ribosomal RNA", at positions 35 to 154 of the family's 154-position model. The record is from RNAcentral.
GAUGAAGAACGCAGUGAACUGCGAUAAGUAAUGUGAAUUGCAGAAUUCAGUGAAUCAUCGAGUCUUUGAACGCACAUUGCGCCCCCUGGCAUUCCGGGGGGCAUGCCUGUCCGAGCGUCAUUGCUGCCCUUCAAGCCCGGCUUGUGUGUUGGGUCGUCGUCCCCCCCGGGGGACGGGCCCGAAAGGCAGCGGCGGCACCGCGUCCGGUCCUCGAGCGUAUGGGGCUUUGUCACCCGCUCGAUUAGGGCCGGCCGGGCGCCAGCCGGCGUCUCCAACCUUCUAUUUUACCAGGUUGACCUCGGAUCAGGUAGGGAUACCCGCUGAACUUAAGCAUAUCAAUAAGCGGAGGA